UAGGGAAUCUUCGGCAAUGGACGGAAGUCUGACCGAGCAACGCCGCGUGAGUGAAGAAGGUUUUCGGAUCGUAAAGCUCUGUUGUUAGAGAAGAACGUUGGUAGGAGUGGAAAAUCUACCAAGUGACGGUAACUAACCAGAAAGGGACGGCUAACUACGUGCCAGCAGCCGCGGUAAUACGUAAGUCUCGAGCGUUGUCCGGACUUAUUGGGCGUAAAGCGAGCGUUGGCGGUUCUUUAAGUCGAAAGUUAAAGGCAGUGGCUUAAGCAUUGUACGCUUUGGAAACUGAAGGACUUGAGUGCAGAAGGGGAGAGUGGAAAUCCGUAUGUAGCGGUGAGAUGCAUAGAUAUAUGGAAGAACGCCGGUGACGCAAGAUGCUCUCUGGUCUGUAACUGACGCAGAGGAUCGAAAGCGUGGGGAGCAAACAGG
This 429-nucleotide ribosomal RNA is filed under the name Bacillota bacterium. RNAcentral's name for it is "Firmicutes bacterium partial 16S ribosomal RNA". It matches the Rfam family "Bacterial small subunit ribosomal RNA", at positions 355 to 776 of the family's 1533-position model. The record is from RNAcentral. Lineage: Bacteria; Bacillati; Bacillota.